GACAGAAGAACACUCCUGCACAGAGCUCGAGAGGCCACAUAUGCAGCAGAGGUUUUCACAAUGAACAGCCUCUUGGACACCAGGACAAGAGGAAAGACUUACCACACUGCCAGUCUAUAUCCAGACGAACUGAAGUGGAAGAAGACUUAUGGUUUCCCAAAACAGGGAAGGGAAUAUGAAGGUCAUUGGGGAGAUUGAUAAGGAUCCAGAGAAGAAUUUAUGUACUACAAUACCUAAUUUCUGAGAGUUCUGCAGAAGACUGUAUUUUCUCCUUUUUUCAAUGCAUUGGUAAAGGGAGGUGUCCCAGAAACUUGCAAGCCAGUCAGAGAGUCACUUGAAAUAGUAAAGCUCUUUGAAAAUACUGAGGGUAGAGAAAGGUAUUAAACUCUUACUCAAUAAGACAUACUUAUUUCUCUGGCACAAGGGUUCUUUUAUGUAAGAGGCUGAGACACCACUUUUACACACUGCUACGCAAAACCUGACAAAUAAAAACUGAACAAUAAGAAAGUCUACAGAAAAGUCCCAGCUACUCUUAAUACAGUAAUAGAGUAUUCAUCUCAAAGGAUGCUAAGGUUAGAGGUGAGGAUUCAGUUCUCAGAGUCUCUGUCCUAGGAGACUACUAAGAUACUGGAUAAAAGUGUGUUGUGUGAUGCUGUUCAAACACAUAGGAGACUUGGCCACACUGGAAGUCCCUGAUGAGACCAGACAUUUAACAGCCUUACCAGGGUAUAAGCACAAAGCAGUAUAGUAGGAUCAGAACUUCUAUUAAGGAGAUUGCUGGACAGGGAAUAAAGGUGGCCUAUAGAUGUAGGUGGCAGUCCAGCAAAAUGUUUCUGAGUAACACAGUAAAGCCAUAGUGUUGGUGCUUGGUUUGCAAGUCCUUUUGUAGAUAUAUCCUAAUAUGACAAUAACACAGUUACAGCACUUCUCACUCCAAAAUAUGUUUAGAGCAGAUCUCUAGCACAGAGUCUAAAUUUGUUGUGAAUCAUCAGCACUGCAGGCUGCAUUUUUUCUUAAAGUUUCCAGAUUCCACGAACCUCCAGUGUAAGCUGUUCUGUUAAUGUUACAUAUCAGGGUAUGGACAAACCUUUUUUUCUAAAAAGAUGAAAUGGUGCUUGUCACAACUGUAAGUAGCUCUUUGUGAUCCAAGCAGCACUAAAAAGAAUAUUUUCUUUUUCUCCCUGGUUUAUCUGUGUUUAAACAGACUAAAGAAGAAAUAUAAAGAAAUAAGAGACUCUCAGAAGUCCACGUAGCUUGUUCAAAGAUCAUGCAGAAAUAUGUAGUAAUAUUAGGAAAUUACUAAUACCUUCUGGAACAGAGCUUUCCCUUUCACUGAAAGGCAUUUCUGUUUUCCUAUUGGAUUGCAUGAGAUGCCAGAAACAUGAAUUAAAAAUAUGGAAAUAUUCCAGAAUAAAAGUAAGACUUAUCUAAGGCUUCUUAGAUCCAUCUGUCUUCUCAAAGAAGUUUAGUUUCUUUCUUCACUUGAGAAAUACCGGUAUGAGCAACAACAAAAAAUGAUAACAAGAAUGAAACAAAUACCUAGCAAAAUAUGAGCAAGAAAGGAUUCCAUGCCUCUGCAGAGACAAGUAUUUAGAUUAAUUUUUUUAAUUCUGGAAUUUGCAAAAUAAAUAUUUAUUGCUGCUGUAAGUUUCAAAAGAAUUUCUAUGUCUAAAAUGUCUAAAAAAAUUAAAAAUGGGAAUUUUAUUAAAGAAUAAAACUGUUUAAAUGUUCAAUCUGGACAAAUUUUCCCAGCUCAUUCCUUUAGUGAUUGAGCUAUAUUUAUAGGAAAUGUCAGAACUGAAGGUGUCAUGGAAUCUGCAUUUAUGCAGAUAUUCUAUUUUCUGCUACUCAAAUAUUCAGAAAUUUAAAUGACAAAGAACUAUAGAAAACAAUGUACCAAAGUUGUACAUCAUAAAAUGGUGGUGUUGAGCUCAGUGAAACUUUUAGAUGUAAAAAGUGUAAGAAUUUAAAGCCAUACCUUUGUUUUCAGAUAUCACCAGCAGGGAAAUUAAUUUAUUUUUUAAAUCUUGGAGGACCUGUCUAGCCAUUAGACAGAACAACUAAAUGGAUCAACAAGAAGCUGCAAAUGGGAUUUUUCUGUAGCUUUGGUGUUAUUGAAAAUGGAAUAUAACUGCCAAAGCUAUUGCUUGUGUUGUAGAACAAAUUCUCUCCUGAUGUAAAAUGAUACAAUUCCAUUGACUGCAAUGACGUUACACCCAAUUUAUGUCAGAAAAAAUAUGUAGCUCUUUAUCCAUUUAUCUAUAAGCUGGUUGCUGUGACUUAAUUUUAAAUGAAUUAUGUUACUGUUCUUGGUCUGUGCCCUUGCAGCACUUUAUUACAUAGAAGGCUAGUUCAGCAGAAAUAAAUAAAUAUGUGAUUUGCAGUCUCAGCAAAUGUCCUAGCCAGGAACAAUGGCAUCUCUGCAGUGUUCCAGACUAAUUGCCCCCAAUUUUCUGCUCUAACCUUCAUAUGCAAUACUAUUCUCCUCGUUCUUUUUCCACCCAAUCCUCAUGUUCAGAUUUUGUCCAGUGUCAGCAAGACUUUAACCAUCAGCUCUUACGUAUUCAAAUUCCUUUUGAGUAUAGCUUCCUCUAUGUGAUCCCCAGUGAUCAUAAGAAACAUGUGUUACAUUUAAGAAAGUGCAUUAGUUAAGAAAAGGAUAUGUUUUAAAUCUUUCCUUAAGCUCUUGCCUUGAAUUUUCGUGUGUGAUAUUAUACCCUAACAUUUACGGUAACAAAUGCUGUCAUUAUAAUUGUGUCUUAUGCUCACUAGCAUAUCAUCAUCCAAUGUUUUUCUAAUUUCACAGUCAAAACCUGCCAUCAAAUAUCAUAAGCAGUUUAACUGAUAUUAAUACAAGUAGGAAGAUUUUUGAGCUUAUUUUAAGGCUGAUUGGCAGCAACUUUCUGUCCAAAAACUGAAUGCAGUAGCACUAAGUUAAUGAUAAGCAUUAAUAAAUCAUGCUUGAGGUAAUUUUUUAGGUACUAAGGACCUUUUGAUGAUUAGUGAACAUGUCUGAAAAUUGUUCUGGUCACCUACUUAAUAGCUUGUGGCUUUGGAAGGCAUUAAUCCAGAACAUUGACUUCAUUUUGUCAUUAAGUCUUUUACAUUAUAGGAAGGUGUUUGUGAGGCCUAUUGGAUUCAGUGGUGUACAGGAAGCAUGUAAUUAAAGAAACUGUAAGUAGUUAGUUUCAGUUAGAAAUAAGUAGUUAGUUCCCAGCUGCUUACUUUGGGAAGCACCUGCUGGAUUUCACAGAAUUGGUUCCCAUAGUCCAGCUGCAUUUCUGCUGAAUAGUUCAACCAGGUGUGGAGCCAUAAUCUAUGACUUUUGUGUGUUUAUCCACUAUGAAUGACCAUUGACCAUAUAUAGGUAAAAAGUAAAAUAAAUGUCCACAAAACGCAUGAUAUCUGUGAAAUGGAACUGUGUUGUUUCUGAAAUAUUUUAUUAAGUCUCAUGUUAGAAAAAAAGCACUUUUUAUAUGCACAUGCAGGUAAAUAUUCCUGAUGGGACUUGCCAGGCUGGACUGGGGGAAUUCUGUUCUCAGUUCCUACCUUUUGGAUCAUAAGUCUGUCUUCUUUACUGCACCAUUAAACUGACUAUAAUGUAUUUGCAUGGUGGCUUAUCUGACCUGGUGUUCUCCUUCUUGUGUCCCCUGUGGACACUUAAAAAAGAACCAUUAUGAAAUAAGAUUAUCACUAUGGAAAAUUUUACUCCUAGUCUCAUUUAGUUAGCACUGAUAUAACUUUUGAUAAACUCAAGAGGAACAAAAUAGAGUCUUGCAUCAUCUUUUUCAUAUUGUAUGCAGUUCCUGUGUCUCUGGGGUGCUCCCAAACACAGAAGCAGAGUAUAAUGUUGUAUUUCCUUUAGUCUUUGUGUUCAAGGUCUUGAUAAGUCUUUUCAGGCCAUAUACUAUGGGUAACCUUUUGUAGGCAUAUCUGGGUUCACCAGAACUGAAAAAAAUUCCUAGAUUUCUUUUCUGGGAGGGUGAAUUUUGUAGAUGCUUUUUCUCUCUAAAGCAGUUAAAAAAAAAAAAAAAAGAUGAUUCUAUGAUGUUUCUGAGAAAUUCUUAAGUGUAUUACAUUUCCUUCAGAGAAAAAUGU
This is a long non-coding RNA of Passer domesticus (house sparrow), 4098 nucleotides long. RefSeq lists it as uncharacterized. The record is from RefSeq and is a predicted model, not a curated record. The transcript has 3 exons. Lineage: Eukaryota; Metazoa; Chordata; Aves; Passeriformes; Passeridae.